Molecule: microRNA precursor, 96 nt
Filed under: Anopheles quadriannulatus
Lineage: Eukaryota; Metazoa; Arthropoda; Insecta; Diptera; Culicidae
Description: microRNA mir-iab-4
Source: RNAcentral
GUGUGGUGCUGGUUGCAUAGAUUGCAGGCGUACCGAUUAUGGCGAAGGGUUUCGGUUUUAUCGGUACGCCUGCAAUCUAUGCAACCAGCACCACAC